RNAcentral lists this ribosomal RNA (422 nucleotides) under uncultured bacterium. Its description in RNAcentral is "bacterial SSU rRNA". It matches the Rfam family "Bacterial small subunit ribosomal RNA", at positions 355 to 774 of the family's 1533-position model. The record is from RNAcentral.
UGAGGAAUAUUGGACAAUGGGCGCAAGCCUGAUCCAGCCAUGCCGCGUGCAGGAAGAAGCAUCUAUGGUGUGUAAACUGCUUUUGUACGGGAAGAAACACUCCUUCGUGAAGGAGCUUGACGGUACCGUAAGAAUAAGGAUCGGCUAACUCCGCGCCAGCAGCCGCGGUAAUACGGAGGAUCCAAGCGUUAUUCGGAAUCAUUGGGUUUAAAGGGUGCGUAGGCGGUUUAGUAAGUCAGUGGUGAAAGCCCAGCGCUCAACGAUGGAACGGCCAUUGAUACUGCUAGACUUGAAUUAUUAGGAAGUAACUAGAAUAUGUAGUGUAGCGGUGAAAUGCUUAGAUAUUACAUGGAAUACCAAUUGCGAAGGCAGGUUACUACUUGUGGAUUGACGCUGAUGGACGAAAGCGUGGGGAGCGAACA